This is a non-coding RNA of Lingula anatina, 300 nucleotides long. NCBI's taxonomy places the organism in Eukaryota, Metazoa, Brachiopoda, Lingulata, Lingulida, Lingulidae. The record is from Rfam.
GCUGGGAGUGGUAGCGCACUCCUGUAAUCUGGCUAUUCAGAGGCCCAGGUUGGUGGAUGGCUUGCGGACGGGAGUCCUGUUGGGUUUCUCUCUAUGUGGAUCGGGUGUCCGCACUAAGCUCGGCAUCAAUAUGGUUCCCUGGGCGGAGGUCUGGGGGCCCAGGUUGACUAAGGAAGACCGUACCGGGCCAGAGCAGAAAUGCAGCAGCCAAAAGGUCUCGUGUUGAGCAGUAUGGUGGGAUCGCGCCCGUGAAUAGAGAACAUCCAGCAGCCCGACCUAGACAGUUGGACCCAAUCUUUU